GACGAACGCUGGCGGCGUGCUUAACACAUGCAAGUCGAACGGAAAGGCCCUGCUUUUUUGGGGUGCUCGAGUGGCGAACGGGUGAGUAACACGUGAGUAACCUGCCCUUGACUUUGGGAUAACUUCAGGAAACUGGGGCUAAUACCGGAUAGGAACGCCUGCUGCAUGGUGGGGGUGGGAAAGGUUCGGCGGUUGGGGAUGGACUCGCGGGUUAUCAGCUUGUUGGUGGGGGAGUGGCUGACCAAGGCUUUGACGGGUAGCCGGCCUGAGAGGGUGACCGGCCACAUUGGGACUGAGAGACGGACCAGACUCCUACGGGGGGCAGCAGUGGGGAAUAUUACACAAUGGGCGGAAGCCUGAGGCAGCAACGCCGCGUGCGGGAUGACGGCCUUCGGGUUGUAAAGCGCUUUCGCCUGUGACGAAGAGUGAGUGACGGUAAUGGGUAAAGAAGCACCGGCUAACUACGUG
This 468-nucleotide ribosomal RNA is filed under the name uncultured bacterium. RNAcentral describes it as "partial 16S ribosomal RNA". It matches the Rfam family "Bacterial small subunit ribosomal RNA", at positions 28 to 507 of the family's 1533-position model. The record is from RNAcentral.